GACGAACGCUGGCGGCGUGCUUAACACAUGCGAGUCGAACGGAAAGGCCCUGCUUUUGUGGGGUGCUCGAGUGGCGAACGGGUGAGUAACACGUGAGUAACCUGCCCUUGACUUUGGGAUAACUUCAGGAAACUGGGGCUAAUACCGGAUAGGAGCUCCUGCUGCAUGGUGGGGGUUGGAAAGUUUCGGCGGUUGGGGAUGGACUCGCGGCUUAUCAGCUUGUUGGUGGGGUAGUGGCUUACCAAGGCUUUGACGGGUAGCCGGCCUGAGAGGGUGACCGGCCACAUUGGGACUGAGAUACGGCCCAGACUCCUACGGGAGGCAGCAGUGGGGAAUAUUGCACAAUGGGCGGAAGCCUGAUGCAGCAACGCCGCGUGCGUGAUGACGGCCUUCGGGUUGUAAACCGCUUUCGCCUGUGACGAAGCGUGAGUGACGGUAAUGGGUAAAGAAGCACCGGCUAACUACGUG
This 468-nucleotide ribosomal RNA is filed under the name uncultured bacterium. Its description in RNAcentral is "partial 16S ribosomal RNA". It matches the Rfam family "Bacterial small subunit ribosomal RNA", at positions 28 to 507 of the family's 1533-position model. The record is from RNAcentral.